This 1167-nucleotide ribosomal RNA is filed under the name human gut metagenome. Its description in RNAcentral is "bacterial LSU rRNA". It matches the Rfam family "Bacterial large subunit ribosomal RNA", at positions 1351 to 2594 of the family's 2925-position model. The record is from RNAcentral.
UUUCCUGGGGAAGGUUCGUCCGCCCAGGGUAAGCCGGGAGCUAAGGCGAGGCCGCGAGGCGUAGUCGAUGCACAUACGGUAGAAAUUCCGUAGCCACCUCACACGAGAAAGCUGACACAUGGAGAUAGUCGAACCCGGCCGUUGGUCGCGCCGGGCGAAAGGGACCGAACUUAUAGUAGGGAAGUCGAUGAUGCUCUGUGGCGAGAAAAGGCGAAGUGAGGUGCCCGUACCGCAAACCGACACAGGUAGAUGAGGAGAGAAUCCUAAGGCCAACGGGAGAAGGGUUGUUAAGGAACUCGGCAAAUUGACCCCGUAACUUCGGGAUAAGGGGAGCCUCCUACGGGAGGCCGCAGUGAAUAGGCCCAAGCAACUGUUUACCAAAAACACAGGUCUCUGCUAAAUCGAAAGAUGACGUAUAGGGGCUGACGCCUGCCCGGUGCCGGAAGGUUAAGAGGAGAGCUUAGCGCAAGCGAAGGUUUGAAUUGAAGCCCCGGUAAACGGCGGCCGUAACUAUAACGGUCCUAAGGUAGCGAAAUUCCUUGUCAGGUAAGUUCUGACCCGCACGAAUGGCGUAAUGAUUUGGGCACUGUCUCAACAGCCCGCCCGGCGAAAUUGUAGUACUGGUGAAGAUGCCAGUUACCCGCAACUAGACGGAAAGACCCCAUGGAGCUUUACUGCAGUUUAAUACUGGGAAUCGGUAAUGCAUGUACAGGAUAGGUGGGAGACUAGGAAGCAUGGUCGUCAGGUCAUGUGGAGUCACCGGUGGGAUACCACUCUUGUAUUGCUGAUUUCCUAACCUGCGGCCGUGAAUCCGGUCGGGGGACACUGUUAGACGGGCAGUUUGACUGGGGCGGUCGCCUCCAAAAGAGUAACGGAGGCGCUCAAAGGUUCGUUCAGCACGGACGGAAAUCGUGCAUUGAGUGUAAACGCAUAAACGAGCCUAACUGCGAGACCGACGGGUCGAGCAGUAACGAAAGUUGGAGUUAGUGAUCCGGUGGUAUGUGAGUGGAAAUGCCAUCGCUCAACGGAUAAAAGCUACCCUGGGGAUAACAGGCUGAUCUCCCCCAAGCGUCCACAGCGACGGGGAGGUUUGGCACCUCGAUGUCGGCUCGUCGCAUCCUGGGGCUGAAUUCGGUCCCAAGGGUUUGGCUGUUCGCCAAUUAAAGC